RNAcentral lists this ribosomal RNA (273 nucleotides) under uncultured Staphylococcus sp. RNAcentral's name for it is "partial 16S ribosomal RNA". It matches the Rfam family "Bacterial small subunit ribosomal RNA", at positions 89 to 355 of the family's 1533-position model. The record is from RNAcentral. Lineage: Bacteria; Bacillati; Bacillota; Bacilli; Caryophanales; Staphylococcaceae.
ACGUUAGCGGCGGACGGGUGAGUAACACGUGGGUAACCUACCUAUAAGACUGGGAUAACUUCGGGAAACCGGAGCUAAUACCGGAUAAUAUUUCGAACCGCAUGGUUCGAUAGUGAAAGAUGGUUUUGCUAUCACUUAUAGAUGGACCCGCGCCGUAUUAGCUAGUUGGUAAGGUAACGGCCUACCAAGGCGACGAUACGUAGCCGACCUGAGAGGGUGAUCGGCCACACUGGAACUGAGACACGGUCCAGACUCCUACGGGAGGCAGCAGCA